GUCCAUGGCCAGAUCACCCUGAAUGUGCCUGAUCUCAUCUGAUCUCAUCAGCUAAACAGGGUCGGGCCUGGUUAGUACUUGGGUGGGAGAAAACAGUGAGACGAUGCCUUCAAGGGAA
Ribosomal RNA from Bison bison bison, 118 nucleotides. The record is from Ensembl. NCBI's taxonomy places the organism in Eukaryota, Metazoa, Chordata, Mammalia, Artiodactyla, Bovidae.